GAUGGGCCCGCGCCCGAUUAGCUAGUUGGUGGGGUAACGGCUCACCAAGGCAUCGAUCGGUAGCCGGCCUGAGAGGGUGAUCGGCCACACCGGAACUGAGACACGGUCCGGACUCCUACGGGAGGCAGCAGUGGGGAAUCUUGCGCAAUGGGCGAAAGCCUGACGCAGCAACGCCGCGUGGAGGAUGAAGGCCCUUGGGUUGUAAACUCCUGUCGGCUGGGAAGAAAUCGUGCGGUGCUCAUACCAUCGCGCGUUGACUGUACCAGCAAAGGAAGCCCCGGCUAACUCUGUGCCAGCAGCCGCGGUAAUACAGAGGGGGCUAGCGUUAUUCGGAAUUAUUGGGCGUAAAGGGCGCGUAGGCGGCCACGCGUGUCUUUCGUGAAAUCCCUCGGCUUAACUGAGGACGUGCGGAAGAAACUGCGAGGCUGGAGUCCGAGAGAGGGGGGUGGAAUUCCCAGUGUAGCGGUGAAAUGCGUAGAUAUUGGGAGG
RNAcentral lists this ribosomal RNA (489 nucleotides) under uncultured Acidobacteriota bacterium. RNAcentral's name for it is "bacterial SSU rRNA". It matches the Rfam family "Bacterial small subunit ribosomal RNA", at positions 224 to 704 of the family's 1533-position model. The record is from RNAcentral. Lineage: Bacteria; Pseudomonadati; Acidobacteriota.